UACCAGCACCCCGAGUGGUCGGGACGAUUAUUGGGCCUAAAGCAUCCGUAGCCGGUUCUGCAAGUCCCCCGUUAAAUCCAGCUGCUCAACAGAUGGGCCGCGGAGGAUACUACAGAGCUAGGAGGCAGGAGAGGCAAGCGGUACUCAGUAGGUAGGGGUAAAAUCCGUUGAUCCAUUGAAGACCACCAGUGGCGAAGGCGGCUUGCCAGAAUGCGCUCGACGGUGAGGGAUGAAAGCUGGGGGAGCAAACCGG
RNAcentral lists this ribosomal RNA (253 nucleotides) under uncultured bacterium. Its description in RNAcentral is "partial 16S ribosomal RNA". It matches the Rfam family "Archaeal small subunit ribosomal RNA", at positions 474 to 727 of the family's 1478-position model. The record is from RNAcentral.